CGCCCAGAAAGCCUGCGAGCUGGCCGUCCUCCCCAGCACAGUGUGCGGCUGCGCGACUUCAGGCUCUCCGAGUUCAAACUGGCACUGCCCCCGCGUCUUUCGGAUUGGCCAAUGGGAGGGCUCGUGGGCAGGACGGGCUUUCCCUCGGUCAGGUCUCCCCGGGUCUAGAUCUUCCCCCUCUCGCUUUGCCGGAGCUGUUCCUCCGGGGGCGGUCCGAGCCGUGGCUUCUGGCUUCAUUGUUCCAUGUGGAGGAUCCUGAUGGGUCCAGAAAGAGCCUCCCUUUCCCCCGUCAGGGCCAGGCAGGCCCUAGAUCCCUCCGAGACCGACUGAGCGAGUACCUCCUUCCUGCCCUGCUAGUGAUCCGACCCCGGAGGGUCGUCGGACAGCCUCUCGCCCACCUAUUAGAGUUGGAGGGAAAUCGUCACUGGACGUUCCCUGGACACAGUAUUUUCAAGGAGCCUCCUCCACGAAAAUAUACCUAGUAUUCCUAGGGUUUAGCACAGAAUACGCGCUUCGUUGUAAAUGCUUAUUGAUUGCCCUGACUUCAAGUCUAUUCCAAUCUCCUAAUUUUAUAAAGGGAAACCUGGAUGGUUCCGAGAUAACUGAUCUAUCCGGGGUAGCGUUUUGAAGAUGCCACGCAUGGUGCUGGACAGUAGGGAUGCAAAGACAGACAAAAGACAGUUCCUCCUCUCCAAGAGCUUAAUGGGGGAAGCAGCUUCGCAAACAGCUAUGGAAAAGCAAGAUAUGCCAAGGACAGAUGCUUUGUGAAAGUUUGCUAGAGUGAGCCAGAGCUCUCAUUGCAGACACAGCCUGGACUUUCCCCGUCUUUUACAGAGCUAAAGCUUAGCCUCCAACCCAUGAAGAGGGCAGAUUUCCUUAGGAUCCAGACACAACUGUUUAUACCAAAGAAAAGAAGGGACCUCUUUCUGUUUCUCCUAGCCUCUCAAGUGUUGUGUCAUGCCUCUUCUCAGAUAAUUGGUUUCACACACAUCCAUCAUGGAGGAAUUCAAACAGAAGUUAAAUGACCACUUAUAAGGCACAUGGAAGAGAGAAUGCCUCUUCAGGUUCAUCUUUUUGGAUUUGGUCCUAUGCUCCAUCUUGACUGCUGAGAUCUUUUGGAUUCUAUCAUUCAGGAUAUUUACUACCUCUCCUAGCUUUGUGUCAUCAACAAAUUCGAAAAAGAUAGAUUCAAUAAAUGAAAACAUUCUAUGGAAAGGAUCAAUGAAAAUUGGAGGAAAAUCUAAUUACCAUUAGGCAGGCAGUACUGUGCAGAAGAGCAAAUUGAACAGUCAUGGAUGAUUUGGAUAUAUCUGAAGAUACAACUGAUAGGGAGCAAGAAGAUUUGCCUUACGAUGGGGACCUGUUCGAGAAGACCGAGCUGCUGGAUAUUCACUGGGAUGAGUCUUUUCCCUUAAAAGAGAAAAUGUCUCUCCAACCUUUAACCUAUACAUACACAGAAUUAUCUCAAUCAGACAUUUCCAAUGGAGCCACCAAACGAGCAGAUGGCACUUUGCUUGAAACUCAUAUAAGUAAAAAGAGCAAUGAAGAGGAACCAUGCACUGGAUUUUUUCCCAUUCCAGUUAAUGAGGAAUCUUCAAACUCAAAAAUUUCUGAUGUUAUGCUAAAAUAUAUGUCCAAAAAUGAGUUCUCCAAUACUGUCCAGCCUGUUGCUUGUGAAACUUGCCCUAGGCCACCUACUGAAAGUUUUGAUGAAACUAUUGUUAAAAGCUUUAUUUUGCAUUGUAGCGAGACUUCUUUGUCAAGAGAACCAAAAACAAAACUUUCUGAUCAUGUCCUCUAUAAAACAAAUACUAUAUGCAAACAGUCUUGUCACAGACAACUCACAAGGAAAGAAAGUAUUUUUAAUUAUGAAGAAUCCAUGACUACUGGAGACUGCUUGCAGAAAAUUCCAUAUUUUGAAGUUGAAAAUGAAAGCCCAAUGUAUCCACAAACAAAAUGCGGAGGGCAGAUGCCCCAGAAACUUCCACUUGAAAUAAUAAAUUCAGAUGAUGGGCUUAAAAACGACCAAUAUCAAAUUCAUAAUCGCCUUCUUGAUUUAUCUCAAUUUGCUUCCAAAAUCAGAAUGUCGAACCCUAAUAGUAUCAGUCAUAGAUUGGCUACUGUAGUUAAACAAACCAUCUCUUCUCCUAACUUGAGUAGGAAAUCAGCUAUUGUACAAGAUGGGUUAGGAAGCAUGGUUAUAAAUAUUCUUGACCGAAAGCCACAAGAGGAUAAAGAAAAAACUAUUGAGUUUAUGCAAGACUUAAAGUUGAUGACCGAAUGUGUUGAGGCUCAACAUCUCAUUGACCAACUAAAGUUCAAUAAUGAGGUAUCUAAUCCUCUUGUGGAUGUUCCAAGACGAUCUGUUACAGAAUUAGCAACCGAGACAAAUGUCUUAAAAUUACCACCAACCACUGAAGAACAACUGCCUUCCAGUCCUUCACAAUUACUAACAAAAACAACAAAAGGAGACAGCAUGUGUCAGGAGAUAUCAGAGAAGACCAAGCAAUUGAAAACUAAAGUAGAAGAACUUUCUAAAAGAGUAAACUACAGUUACAUGCCUUCAAAAGAAAACAGACAGGUUCUGGAGAUAUUACAGGGUUCCUUUGAAGAGCUGGAGCGGAACUAUUUGUCCAUUAAAGAGACGCAUCGAAUUUUACAGAACCACAAUAAAAAUUCUACACUAUUUGAAGAGUUUGAUCCAGAAAGAAAAGUUGAAGGUGAAAUUUUUAAGAUUGAAAUGCUCCUUGAAAAUAUCAGGGACAGAAUUGAUGAAAGCACAUCUGGUUCUAUUCCUUUAAGUUCCUUGGAUGCUCUGGAUAUCUUGAACUUUGCAUUAUGUCCACUACCAAAUGAGGUCCCAAAACAAGAAAAUGGGCAUGGUCCUUCAGGAAAAUCUGACCAUGAAAUAAAGCUUCUUGAUCCUGGGAAACAAGAUCAAGGAAACACUCUUAUCCCUUUUCCUAAGGAUGAGAGUGUUAAUAAGAAAGAAGUCAUUCUGGCAAAGAUCCAGGAGCCUCCACAAGAUUGCCUUUGUGAACUCUACCCUCAGGUCUACCUCGGGUUACCCAGGAGAGAUGCUACUUUAGAUGAAGAUGCUCCAAAGCUUGUUUCCAAGGAAGAAAGUGCAAAAUUGUCUCCGCUGGAGACAAAUCAGCUGGCAGUGAAGCUUUCAUCGGAUUUAAUGAAAGCCUUCUCUUCUCUGGAAGAAGAUGAUAUUCCUGAAAGCUUGCAGUCCAUUAAGCAAUCUGUAAUGAGGCAAGACUGGCACUCUGAUCAUGAACUCCCUGAAAGGAACCAGAAAAAGGAGAAAAAAGAUGACUCUAGAAAGCCCAGAUGUGAAAGGUUUUCAGUCAUUAUUCAAGAAAAAGAAAUGAAUCUUAAUUUGUCUGAUUCCACUUAUUGUACAGAUGCAGGAGAUAGCUUAUUCUCAGACUCCCGCUAUAUCUCAAACACAGGUGAAUGUAGAAGUUGUAUGAAUAAACGUCUCAAAUCACAGGAAAAAGAAUUCCAAUAUAAAUACAAUUGCACAGGUCAGAAUCCUUUAAAUUUCAAUGAAUGUGAUGGCUUUAUCCGGUUCUGUGCUUUAAGCAAGAAUCAAAGUUUGACUCCAGCUGUUACAUACCCCAAACAGGAUGAAAAUGCUGUUCAGCCUUCACAAAACGAGCACUUGAAGGGGUCUGAGCAUCCAAAAAUGGAACCAUCAAAGAGAUCUGAGAAAAGCAAGUCUGUCUGUUCACAAACGGAAAAACACCAUGUCCCAAGAACUACUUCUAAAUCCUCCCAAGGUCAAGAUGAAAUGACUCUUGCUGGAAAACGGAAUAUGAAGUUUUCCAAAUCCAACCCAGGCAUCUAUGAUCAAAUUGCAAACUCCCCCCAUUGUCACUCCCGUAAGAUUUCUGGAAGCAAAGUUCUGUAUAGCAUCCAAAAUAUCAACAAAGAUGAUUCAGAGAUUUUAAAUUCUGCUUUGGAUCAUGCCCUAAAAACAGCCAUCAGUUUAAAAGAAACAACUGAGCAAAUGAUAAAAGCGAUUGCUGAGGACCUGGCCAAAGCUCAAGGUCGUAGAAGUCACCAGAAAUUCUAGCUAUGGCUCGGCCAAAAUACCAAAAGAAGAAAAGGUGUGAAGAAAACCUUGCUUCCCUAAAUGGAUGUACUUGCUGUUAUCAGCAUCUACAAACCUGAUUCCUCAGUACUUCAAAGAUCACCAGCUUUCUGCCCUUUGGAUGGUCUUCCUUGAGUUACUGUGUCUGAAAAGAAAGAUCCCAUCACCCAGUGGCCAACCCUGGUAACGGAACCUCUCUGAAAAGGACAUACAGUGUACUGUACUGUCAGGUCCAUGCUUGAAGCCUUCUCAAGCUUGGUAGAACGAGCCAGAGUUUGUGCUUCACCCAGGGUCUUCUCUACAACAUGAUGCAUCCAAGGAAGAUGUCAGUGGAUUCAGCUUCUACUGUUUGCUUUUCCCCCUGUAUUUUUUAUCACAAAGAUGGUUUUCUUCCCUUU
This is a non-coding RNA of Monodelphis domestica (gray short-tailed opossum), 4500 nucleotides long. NCBI's taxonomy places the organism in Eukaryota, Metazoa, Chordata, Mammalia, Didelphimorphia, Didelphidae. The record is from RefSeq and is a predicted model, not a curated record.